CCCCUAGAUGUUCGGGGCCGCACGCGCGCUACACUGAAGGAAUCAGCACGUCUUUCUCCUUGUCCGAAAGGACUGGGUAACCCGCUGAACCUCCUUCGUGCUAGGGAUUGGGGCUUGUAAUUCUUCCCCAUGAACGAGGAAUUCCCAGUAAGCGCGAGUCAUAAGCUCGCGUUGAUUACGUCCCUGCCCUUUGUACACACCGCCCGUCGCUACUACCGAUUGGAUGGUUUAGUGAGAUCCUCGGAUUGGUCCCGGCGCGGCCUCUGGUCGUGCCGGAGUGCCGAAAAGAAUGUCGAACUUGAUCAUCUAGAGGAAGUAAAAGUCGUAACA
Molecule: ribosomal RNA, 330 nt
Filed under: uncultured eukaryote
Lineage: Eukaryota
Description: partial 18S ribosomal RNA
Rfam family: Eukaryotic small subunit ribosomal RNA
Source: RNAcentral